GACGAACGCUGGCGGCGUGCUUAACACAUGCAAGUCGAACGGAAAGGCCCCCACCUUGGUGGGGGUGCUCGAGUGGCGAACGGGUGAGUAACACGUGGGUGAUCUGCCCUGUACUUCGGGAUAAGCUUGGGAAACUGGGUCUAAUACCGGAUAGGACCAUGGUUUAGUGUCUCAUGGUGGAAAAAUUAUUGUUUUGGUGCAGGAUGAGCUCGCGGCCUAUCAGCUUGUUGGUGGGGUAAUGGCCUACCAAGGCGUCGACGGGUAGCCGGCCUGAGAGGGUGGACGGCCACAUUGGGACGGAGACACGGCCCAGACUCAUACGGGAGGCAGCAGUGGGGAAGAUUGCAGAAUGGGCGCAAGCCUGAUGCAGCGACGCCGCGUGGGGGAGGACGGCCUUCGGGUUGUAAACUCCUUUCGUUAGGGACGAAGCCACACCUUUUUUGGGUGUGGUGACGGUACCUUUGUUAAGAAGCACCGGCUAACUACGUG
Molecule: ribosomal RNA, 489 nt
Filed under: uncultured bacterium
Lineage: Bacteria
Description: partial 16S ribosomal RNA
Rfam family: Bacterial small subunit ribosomal RNA
Source: RNAcentral